Pelobates cultripes (western spadefoot toad) is the source of this 303-nucleotide non-coding RNA. The record is from the annotation of a GenBank genome assembly. Lineage: Eukaryota; Metazoa; Chordata; Amphibia; Anura; Pelobatidae.
CUGGAGGGAACACAUAUGUCAGUUCGAAAUCUCAUCUGAUCAGGGGUGGACUGACCACUUGCACACAUCAGUCAUGGACCGAGGGCCGUGGCAGUCAGUGGCCCGGAGCAGCUAUGGCCCGGCUGGGGAGAUCAGAGAGUCAAAUAAAGCACCAAUGCAGUGUGACCAGCAUGAAAUUCUCCUUACCUGGUCUCUGAUAAACCUCCUUAGCGGGAGCUCCGUGUAGGAUAAGAGAUGGGGAUAUUUCCUCCUCCCUCAGCCCAUCCCCUCUGUGGGGUUAAAGUUAGACCCCUACAAGCCUCU